GACCGGCGAACGGGUGAGUAACGCGUACGUAACCUGGCUACAGAUGGGGGAUAACCCUGGGAAACUGGGAUUAAUACCGCAUAAAAUAAUAAUAUGGCAUCAUAUAAUUAUUAAAGGAGAGAUCCGUCUGUAGAUGGGCGUGCGUUCUAUUAGUUAGUUGGUGAGGUAACGGCUCACCAAGGCGAUGAUAGAUAGGGGGCGUGAGAGCGUGAUCCCCCACACGGGUACUGAGACACGGACCCGACUCCUACGGGAGGCAGCAGUAAGGAAUAUUGGACAAUGGGGGCAACCCUGAUCCAGCCAUCCCGCGUGCAGGAAGACAGCUCUAUGGGUUGUAAACUGCUUUUGUAUGGGAAGAAUAGUUAAUUUUCAAGUUGAUUUGACGGUACCAUAAGAAUAAGCACCGGCUAACUCCGUGCCAGCAGCCGCGGUAAUACGGAGGGUGCAAGCGUUAUCCGGAAUCACUGGGUUUAAAGGGUGCGUAGGCGGUUUGAUAAGUCAGAAGUGAAAGUCUACGGCUUAACUGUAGAAUUGCUUUUGAUACUGUCAGACUUGGGAUGUGGUUGAGGUAUGCCGGAAUGGUGGCAUGUAGCGGGUGAAAUGCAUAGAUAUGCCAUAGAACACCAAUUGCGAAGGCAGCAUACCGGGCCAUGAUUGACG
RNAcentral lists this ribosomal RNA (660 nucleotides) under uncultured bacterium. RNAcentral's name for it is "bacterial SSU rRNA". It matches the Rfam family "Bacterial small subunit ribosomal RNA", at positions 93 to 745 of the family's 1533-position model. The record is from RNAcentral.